RNAcentral lists this ribosomal RNA (253 nucleotides) under uncultured bacterium. Its description in RNAcentral is "partial 16S ribosomal RNA". It matches the Rfam family "Bacterial small subunit ribosomal RNA", at positions 524 to 776 of the family's 1533-position model. The record is from RNAcentral.
UCCGUAGGGGGCUAGCGUUGUCCGGAUUUAUUGGGCGUAAAGAGCGUGUAGGCGGCCAGAUAGGUCUGCUGUGAAAACUCGAGGCUCAACCUCGAGCUGUCGGCGGAAACCAUUUGGCUAGAGUCCGGAAGAGGAAAGUGGAAUUCCUGGUGUAGCGGUGAAAUGCGCAGAUAUCAGGAAGAACACCCGUGCCGAAGGCGGCUUUCUGGGACGGUACUGACGCUGAGACGCGAAAGCGUGGGGAGCGAACAGG